This 69-nucleotide transfer RNA is filed under the name Deltaproteobacteria bacterium. RNAcentral describes it as "tRNA-OTHER". It matches the Rfam family "tRNA". Rfam says of the family: Transfer RNA (tRNA) molecules are approximately 80 nucleotides in length. Their secondary structure includes four short double-helical elements and three loops (D, anti-codon, and T loops). Lineage: Bacteria; Pseudomonadati; Myxococcota; Myxococcia. The record is from RNAcentral.
GCCCUCGUAGCUCAGGAGGAUAGAGCACUAAUCUGGGUGCCGCGUGUUCGAGUCACGCCGGGGGCACCA